Molecule: ribosomal RNA, 516 nt
Filed under: uncultured bacterium
Lineage: Bacteria
Description: partial 16S ribosomal RNA
Rfam family: Bacterial small subunit ribosomal RNA
Source: RNAcentral
GAUGAACGCUGGCGGCGUGCCUAAUACAUGCAAGUCGAACGCAUUGAGAGAAGUGCUUGCACUUUUCAAUUUGAGUGGCGAACGGGUGAGUAACACGUGGGCAACCUACCUAAUAGCGGGGGAUAACGAGUGGAAACAUUCGCUAAUACCGCAUAACAAUAGAGAAGGCAUCUUCUUUAUUUAAAAGGCGCUUUCAAGCUUCACUAUUAACUGGGCCCGGGGUGCAUUAGUUAGUUGGUGGGGUGAAGGCCUACCAAGACGAUGAUGCAUAGCCGAGGUGCGAGACUGAUCGGCCACAUUGGGACUGAGACACGGCCCAAACUCCUACGGGAGGCUGCAGUAGGGAAUCUUCCACAAUGGACGAAAGUCUGAUGGAGCAACGCCGCGUGUGUGAUGAAGGCUUUCGGGUCGUAAAGCACUGUUGUAUGGGAAGAAAUGCUAGGCUUGGAAAUGAGCUUAGUUUGACGGUACCACACCAGAAAGGGACGGCUAAAUACGUGCCAGCCGCCGCCGUAA